AGAGUUUGAUCCUGGCUCAGGAUGAACGCUGGCGGCGUGCUUAACACAUGCAAGUCGAGCGAAGCACUUAUGAAGAUUCUUCNGGAUGAUUCAUUUGUGACUGAGCGGCGGACGGGUGAGUAACGCGUGAGUAACCUGCCUCAUACAGGGGAAUAACAGUUAGAAAUGACUGCUAAUGCCGCAUAGGCGCACAGGACCGCAUGGUCCGGUGUGAAAAACUCCGGUGGUAUGAGAUGGACCCGCGUCUGAUUAGCUGGUUGGUGAUGUAACGGCCCACCAAGGCGACAAUCAGUAGCCGGCCUGAGAGGGUGAACGGCCACAUUGGGACUGAGACACGGCCCAAACUCCUACGGGAGGCAGCAGUGGGGAAUAUUGCACAAUGGGGGAAACCCUGAUGCAGCGACGCCGCGUGAGUGAAGAAGUAUUUCGGUAUGUAAAGCUCUAUCAGCAGGGAAGAAAAUGACGGUACCUGACUAAGAAGCCCCGGCUAACUACGUGCCAGCAGCCGCGGUAAUACGUAGGGGGCAAGCGUUAUCCGGACUUACUGGGUGUAAAGGGAGCGUAGACGGCUUUGCAAGUCUGACGUGAAAAUCCGGGGCUCAACCCCGGAACUGCGUUGGAAGCUGUGAGGCUUGAGUGCCAGAGAGGUAAGCGGAAUUCCUAGUGUAGCGGUGAAAUGCGUAGAUAUUAGGAGGAACACCAGUGGCGAAGGCGGCUUACUGGACGGCAACUGACGUUGAGGCUCGAAAGCGUGGGGAGCAACAGGAUUAGAUACCCUGGUAGUCCACGCGGUAAACGAUGAAUACUAGGUGUUGGGGGACAAAGUCCUUCGGUGCCGCCGCAAACGCAUUAAGUAUUCCACCUGGGGAGUACGUUCGCAAGAAUGAAACUCAAAGGAAUUGACGGGGACCCGCACAAGCGGUUGAGCAUGUGGUUUAAUUCGAAGCAACGCGAAGAACCUUACCAAGUCUUGACAUCGAUCUGAAUGGGGAGUAAUGUUCCCAGUCUCUUCGGAGACAGAGAAGACAGGUGGUGCAUGGUUGUCGUCAGCUCGUGUCGUGAGAUGUUGGGUUAAGUCCCGCAACGAGCGCAACCCUUAUCUUCAGUAGCCAGCAUUUCGGAUGGGCACUCUGGAGAGACUGCCAGGGACAACCUGGAGGAAGGUGGGGAUGACGUCAAAUCAUCAUGCCCCUUAUGACUUGGGCUACACACGUGCUACAAUGGCGUAAACAAAGGGAAGCAGCCCUGUGAAGGUGAGCAAAUCCCAAAAAUAACGUCUCAGUUCGGAUUGUAGUCUGCAACUCGACUACAUGAAGCUGGAAUCGCUAGUAAUCGCGAAUCAGAAUGUCGCGGUGAAUACGUUCCCGGGUCUUGAUACACACCGCCCGUC
RNAcentral lists this ribosomal RNA (1390 nucleotides) under uncultured bacterium. RNAcentral's name for it is "16S ribosomal RNA". It matches the Rfam family "Bacterial small subunit ribosomal RNA". The record is from RNAcentral.